Molecule: ribosomal RNA, 327 nt
Filed under: uncultured eukaryote
Lineage: Eukaryota
Description: partial 18S ribosomal RNA
Rfam family: Eukaryotic small subunit ribosomal RNA
Source: RNAcentral
CCCUUAGAUGUUCUGGGCCGCACGCGCGCUACACUGACAUGUCCAGCGAGCUCCCAACCUGCUCGGCAAAGAAUGGGUACCCUUUUUAACGCAUGUCGUGAUGGGGAUAGAUUAUUGCAAUUGUUGAUCCUGAACGAGGAAUUCCUAGUAAGUGCAAGUCAUUAGCUUGUGCUGAAUGCGUCCCUGCCCUUUGUACGCACCGCCCGUCGCUCCUACCGAUUGAGUGCUCCGGUGAAUGUUUUGGAUCGGCUUCAAGUUGGUUCGCGCCUCUUGCUUGCUGUGAAAUCAUGUAAACCUUAUUGCUUAGAGGAAGGAGAAGUCGUAACA